RNAcentral lists this unclassified non-coding RNA (387 nucleotides) under soil metagenome. RNAcentral's name for it is "partial contains 5.8S ribosomal RNA, internal transcribed spacer 2, and large subunit ribosomal RNA". The stretch from base 1 to 122 matches the Rfam family "5.8S ribosomal RNA", at positions 35 to 154 of the family's 154-position model. The record is from RNAcentral.
GAUGAAGAACGCAGCGAAAUGCGAUAAGUAAUGUGAAUUGCAGAAUUCAGUGAAUCAUCGAAUCUUUGAACGCACCUUGCACCCUUUGGACUGCUCCAAAGGGUAUGCUCGUUUGAGUGUCAUUGUACUCUCACACUCUCUGAUCCUUUGGAUUUGGGGAGCAGUGGACUUGGGUGCUUGCUGCUUCCUUGUGGCUCACCUGAAAUGCAACAGUGCAUCUCUCGAUUGGACAUAGUACGGCGUGAUAAGUGUCUUCGCCGGCACCUCAUAUGAGGGUGGCCGAUCGGGAGCUCUGUGCUUUCAAACCGUCUUCGGACAACGCUGACAACUUGACCUCAAAUCGAGUAGGACUACCCGCUGAACUUAAGCAUAUCAAUAAGCGGAGGA